AAAUAGACCAAGAGCACAAAGAGGAGAUUAAACUCUCAGCUUUUCUUGAAGUCCUUUUGCAAUUAACACAGAAGUGUGGUUUCUCAGCUGGAUGCUCUCCACAUCUGUACCCGUCUUCCCUUUCCCAUCAGCUCAGCCAGCCACGAUGCAGCCCAGCUCCAUGAGAAUACCAAAAGAAGAGUAAAGCAGUUGCAGUUAAAAAGACCGUAAGUUACUCCUUUCCAUGAUGGUGGGCAGAGCACUGCCAGUUUGCAGAGGAGUAAAAUUCAUGCCAAUAAGAAGAUUAAAGGCUGUUUAGCCUACCAUCAUUUGUGGUCCAUGGAGAACUUGAAAGCAAUACGUUUUACCAGUAAUAGCCUCAUAAUUGUGAAAUACUAGUAACUUGUUUUCCUGAAAUGAUUGUAGCUGCCCAUACCUACAGGCUGUAAAUAAAGCUAAGUAUCACAAAGGAGAACAGAUAUCAGGCUCACAAGUAAAAAUGUCUGCUUUCAGUAUGAAAAUAUCUGAUCUAAGAAACUUGAAGCUUGAAAAAAUAAUUGAGAUUAUUCAUUCAGCCCUACCUUUCCUCCUAAAAUGAAACCUUUACAGAGUUGCACUGUCAAAGCAAAAUGGUGGGUCUAAAGAUAAACUAAAGAAUU
This is a long non-coding RNA of Empidonax traillii (willow flycatcher), 638 nucleotides long. RefSeq lists it as uncharacterized. NCBI's taxonomy places the organism in Eukaryota, Metazoa, Chordata, Aves, Passeriformes, Tyrannidae. The record is from RefSeq and is a predicted model, not a curated record. The transcript is spliced from 3 exons.